Long non-coding RNA from Stomoxys calcitrans (stable fly), 822 nucleotides. RefSeq lists it as uncharacterized. NCBI's taxonomy places the organism in Eukaryota, Metazoa, Arthropoda, Insecta, Diptera, Muscidae. The record is from RefSeq and is a predicted model, not a curated record. The transcript has 2 exons.
UUUCCGACUUUUAAUUUGAAAAUAAUAUCAACUUUGGAAGUUCGAUCAAGCAUGAAAUUUGUCGCAGCAUGUGCCUUUGCUGCAUAACAGCGCCCAUUUGGAGUUGGGGUAUGUGCAUAAGUCAAUUGAGUGAGUGAGGGCGGCUGACUACUUCUUGGAGUGGCGGUGGAGCGCGACAAAACGGAGAUAGUAAUAAAAAAGUAUCGAAAUGUCACAAAAACGCACAUUUCCACUUCGACGCCAAAAUUAGGGCGUAAUUUAAUUGUCGACUGGUUGACAGUUGUUUCCAAUGAACCAGCACGGAGGCACAAAGAAACUUACUGGCCAUAGGCCUCACUGACUGACUGCCUGAAUACAUGCUGCAUUCCCUAGUUACUCGCAUUGAAAGGUGAAUUAUGUUUAUGACGCUUGCUCUGCCUGGGAAAUCAAACGCAGCAGGAAUUGAAAUUCAUUUCAUUGGUCUCUGCAACUUUUAAAUUUGUUAAUCAAUUAAAUUUGUUGACAACUAUGGGUUUUCGUUUUUUUCUUUGUGUGUGUUGCCUUUCAAAUUGAACUAAUUUUCCUCCUCCACCCACUUUUCCACAGUCGUCAACAGAUGUUGUUUGGAGCGGUUCUUUGGGCGUUUUGUGCCUUUUUUUGAAUUGUUGACUGGAUACAUUUUCAUGGCGUUUUGACAUUUUUCGUGUGGCAUCCAUAGCAAGAGACAGAGCGUUUGGCUUGCCAUUGACAGCUAGUAUUUAGAACCUAAAAUUUAUGUGUGACAUGUUUUGGUGCGUUUUUUAGGCCGAUGGUUUAUUGAAAACUACUCCAUUGAUCAAGGCA